UUUUGUGCAUGCGCAGAAGGUCGGCGCGUGCCCUUCCGAACCAGUAAGGAAGGCAGAGGAUUGGAGAGUGGAAGAAGUGUCUGCAGAGAGCCAAAGCUGGUGACAGUGAACAGCCAGGAUGCAGAGUUGGUUGUCCUUGUAUAAAUGUGCCAGUCACAUAGCUCCUCCUGUUUUUUUAAAGCUGAGGAAGACCUGCCAUGGAGACUUCUCAGCUUCCUGCAAUGCAAAUGGAAGUAACUGUACAGACAGGGACUCCUGUUUCCCAUCAGCUUUUUUUUUUUUUUAAUGAAGUAGAUGUACAUUCCUGAAAUCAGUGAUUUAUGAAAAAUGUGCCUUCUUCUCAAAA
This is a long non-coding RNA of Pantherophis guttatus, 346 nucleotides long. RefSeq lists it as uncharacterized. Lineage: Eukaryota; Metazoa; Chordata; Lepidosauria; Squamata; Colubridae. The record is from RefSeq and is a predicted model, not a curated record.